RNAcentral lists this ribosomal RNA (490 nucleotides) under uncultured bacterium. RNAcentral's name for it is "partial 16S ribosomal RNA". It matches the Rfam family "Bacterial small subunit ribosomal RNA", at positions 30 to 507 of the family's 1533-position model. The record is from RNAcentral.
AUUGAACGCUGGCGGCAGGCCUAACACAUGCAAGUCGAACGGUAACACAAAACAGCUUUCUUUUUCCCUGACGCGUGGCGGACGCGUGAGUAAUGUCUGUCAAACUGUCUGUUGUCGGGGGAUAACUCCUGGAAACGGUAACUCUUACCGCAUAACGUCCCAACACCAAAGAGGGGGACCCUCUCGCCCCUUGCCCUCUUAUGUGCGCCGAUGGGAUUAGCUAGUUGGUGGGGUAAAGGCUCACCAAGGCGACGCUCCCUAGCUGGUCUGAGAGGAUGACCAGCCACACUGGAACUGAGACACGGUCCAGACUCCUACGGGAGGCAGCAGUGGGGAAUAUUGGACAAUGGGCGCAAGCCUGAUGCAGCCAUGCCGCGUGGAUGAAGAAGGCCUUCGGGUUGUAAAGCACUUUCAGCGGGGAGGAAGGGAGGAAAGUUAAUACCUUGGCGCAUUGACGGUACCCAAAGAAGAAGCACCGGCUAACUCCGUG